Molecule: ribosomal RNA, 249 nt
Filed under: uncultured bacterium
Lineage: Bacteria
Description: partial 16S ribosomal RNA
Rfam family: Bacterial small subunit ribosomal RNA
Source: RNAcentral
CCAGCCGUAAACUAUGAACACUAGGUGUGGAGGGUAUCGACCCCCUCCGUGCCGCAGCUAACGCAAUAAGUGUUCCGCCUGGGGAGUACGGCCGCAAGGCUAAAACUCAAAGGAAUUGACGGGGGCCCGCACAAGCGGUGGAGCAUGUGGUUUAAUUCGAUGCAACGCGAAGAACCUUACCAGGGCUUGACAUCCCCCGACGCGUAUGGAAACAUGCGUUCGCCCUUCGGGGCGCGGGGAGACAGGUGG